UACGUAGGGUCCAAGCGUUAUCCGGAAUCACUGGGCGUAAAGCGUGCGUAGGUGGAUGUUUAAGUGAGAGGUUAAAUCGUGUGGCUCAACCAUAUCGAUGCCUCUCAUACUGGGCAUCUAGAGGACAGCAGAGGCAAGUGGAACUAGUAGUGUAGCAGUGAAAUGCGUAGAUAUUACUAAGAACACCAAUGGCGAAGGCAGCUUGCUGGGCUACUCCUGACACUGAGGUACGAAAGCGUGGGGAGCGAACAGG
Molecule: ribosomal RNA, 253 nt
Filed under: uncultured bacterium
Lineage: Bacteria
Description: partial 16S ribosomal RNA
Rfam family: Bacterial small subunit ribosomal RNA
Source: RNAcentral